This 468-nucleotide ribosomal RNA is filed under the name uncultured bacterium. RNAcentral describes it as "partial 16S ribosomal RNA". It matches the Rfam family "Bacterial small subunit ribosomal RNA", at positions 28 to 507 of the family's 1533-position model. The record is from RNAcentral.
GACGAACGCUGGCGGCGUGCUUAACACAUGCAAGUCGAACGGAAAGGCCCUGCUUUUGUGGGGUGCUCGAGUGGCGAACGGGUGAGUAACACGUGAGUAACCUGCCCUUGACUUUGGGAUAACUUCAGGAAACUGGGGCUAAUACCGGAUAGGAGCUCCUGCUGCAUGGUGGGGGUUGGAAAGUUUCGGCGGGUGGGGAUGGACUCGCGGCUUAUCAGCUUGUUGGUGGGGUAGUGGCUUACCAAGGCUUUGACGGGUAGCCGGCCUGAGAGGGUGACCGGCCACCUUGGGACUGCGAUACGGCCCAGACUCCUACGGUAGGCAGCGGUGGGGAAUAUUGCACAAUGGGCGGAAGCCUGAUGCAGCAACGCCGCGUGCGGGAUGACGGCCUUCGGGUUGUAAACCGCUUUCGCCUGUGACGAAGCGUGAGUGACGGUAAUGGGUAAAGAAGCACCGGCUAACUACGUG